CCCCUGAUGCAAGCCUCCACUUUGAUCACCCCACUCUUAUACGAUGGGUGACGUCCCCGUCAAUUUCUCCGUCCCCCUGAAUCACAAACCCAAGAUAUCGGACACUGUCCCUCUUGGCGAUGGUCUGAGAACCAAUCAUCACGUCCCUGCCUACCUCGCUCGGCUCGGUGCCAAACUUGCACUCUAGGUAUUCUGUCUUACAUCUACUUAUUUUGAAACCUUUAGACUCGAGAUUCUGUCUCCAUACCUCUAACCUUUCAAUAACACCGACCCUCGUCUCAUCUAUCAAUACUAUAUCAUCAGCAAAUAGCAUACACCAAGGCACAUCCCCUUGAAUAUGUCGGGUUAGAGCAUCUAUCACC
This 362-nucleotide long non-coding RNA is filed under the name Nicotiana benthamiana. RNAcentral's name for it is "long non-coding RNA (NBEN_LNC023757)". The record is from RNAcentral. Lineage: Eukaryota; Viridiplantae; Streptophyta; Magnoliopsida; Solanales; Solanaceae.